Molecule: long non-coding RNA, 1012 nt
Organism: Oncorhynchus tshawytscha (Chinook salmon)
Lineage: Eukaryota; Metazoa; Chordata; Actinopteri; Salmoniformes; Salmonidae
Source: Ensembl
CGGCGAUCAGGCAGCCCGCGGGCCAAAACAGAUCACUAACAUUCUAAAUCAGGGGUCGGCGAUCAGGCAGCCCGCGGGCCAAAACAGAUCACUAACAUUCUAAAUCAGGGGUCGGCGAUCAGGCAGCCGCGGACCAAAACCGACCUGCAAAUGAUUUUGUUUGGCCCCCCAAAAGGUUUAUAUAUUUAGGAAAUCUGUUCCCAAGUCUUCCCACCAAAUGCCUCAAUGUAAUCAAGUCAUGAAAUUAUUUCUAUUUUCAAGUGCAAUCUUAUUUUGGGCUUAGUUUUGUUCAAUUUGGUGUACAAAUUAUUAUGAUUAGCUUCCGGCCCGCGGACUAUCCUAAAUCUAGUGGCCUACCGCUGUUCUAAAUAAACCCAAUGGUAUUUCUAUAUGAUAAGCCAUCCAUGGAACAUGAGUCACUGUGCAGUCUGUUACAUGAUCCUACUGUGGUAUGAAAGGCUGUUGUUUGUACAGAGAGUUCCCUGAUGUGCCAUUCCAGGUUCUGGGCCACCAUUUCCCACCAUGCCCAUUUCUCUCUCUCUAUGGGGUGGUGCUGAAGCCUUAUUAACGGCAGAUCAUAGUAUAUACACCCAUUAACUUAAAGGGCAUACAGAACAACACCGAAGCAAAACAAACAAAGUAAGGCCCCUGUCACUCACUGUAGAAUGAGAAAUUCCCCCCUAAAGAAAAGGGAAAUCAGUUUGUACUAUAUGUAUGUAGCGGUCCGACUGAACUGGGGCAACCAGCUAUUUCAGUAUGGGAAAGUGGGACAAGGGCAUGUAACUAGAGUGAAGGCAAUGGAGAGAUGGAGGGAUGGAGAGAUUGGGGGAUGGAGAGAUUGAGGGAUGGAGAGAUGGAGGGAUGAAGAGCUGGAGGGAUGGACAGAUGGAGGGAUGGAGGGAUGAAUAGCUGGAGGGAUGGACAGAUGGAGAGAUGGAGAGAUUGAGGGAUGGAGAGAUGGAGGGAUGGAGAGAUGGAGGGAUGAAGAGCUGGAGGGAUGGACAGAUGGAGA